RNAcentral lists this ribosomal RNA (199 nucleotides) under uncultured bacterium. RNAcentral describes it as "partial 16S ribosomal RNA". It matches the Rfam family "Bacterial small subunit ribosomal RNA", at positions 328 to 539 of the family's 1533-position model. The record is from RNAcentral.
ACGCUCGACACCUACGGGAGGCAGCAGUGGGGAAUAUUGCACAAUGGGGGAAACCCUGAUGCAGCGACGCCGCGUGAGCGAAGAAGUAUUUCGGUAUGUAAAGCUCUAUCAGCAGGGAANAAAAUGACGGUACCUGACUAAGAAGCCCCGGCUAACUACGUGCCACAGCCGCGGUAAUCUGAGGCCGGGCUGGCAAGGC